GAGUUUGAUCCUGGCUCAGGAUGAACGCUAGCGGCAGGCCUAACACAUGCAAGUCGAGGGGCAGCACGAAUUAGCUUGCUAAUUUGGUGGCGACCGGCGCACGGGUGCGUAACGCGUAUGCAACCUACCUUAUACAGGGGUAUAGCCCGGAGAAAUUCGGAUUAAUCCCCCAUGGUACUGAGACACCGCAUGGUGAUUCAGUUAAAGCUUCGGCGGUAUAAGAUGGGCAUGCGUCCUAUUAGCUAGAUGGUAAGGUAACGGCUUACCAUGGCUACGAUAGGUAGGGGGCCUGAGAGGGUGGUCCCCCACACUGGUACUGAGACACGGACCAGACUCCUACGGGAGGCAGCAGUGAGGAAUAUUGGUCAAUGGGCGCAAGCCUGAACCAGCCAUGCCGCGUGCAGGAAGAAUGCCCUAUGGGUUGUAAACUGCUUUUAUUUGGGAAUAAACCUUUCUACGUGUAGGAAGCUGAAGGUACCAAAUGAAUAAGCACCGGCUAACUCCGUGCCAGCAGCCGCGGUAAUACGGAGGGUGCAAGCGUUAUCCGGAAUCAUUGGGUUUAAAGGGUCCGCAGGCGGAUUUAUAAGUCAGUGGUGAAAGCCUACAGCUUAACUGUAGAACUGCCAUUGAUACUGUAAGUCUUGAAUUCGGUCGAAGUGGGCGGAAUGUGUAUGUA
This 676-nucleotide ribosomal RNA is filed under the name uncultured bacterium. Its description in RNAcentral is "bacterial SSU rRNA". It matches the Rfam family "Bacterial small subunit ribosomal RNA", at positions 9 to 677 of the family's 1533-position model. The record is from RNAcentral.